This 76-nucleotide transfer RNA is filed under the name Staphylococcus aureus. Its description in RNAcentral is "tRNA-Thr". It matches the Rfam family "tRNA". Rfam says of the family: Transfer RNA (tRNA) molecules are approximately 80 nucleotides in length. Their secondary structure includes four short double-helical elements and three loops (D, anti-codon, and T loops). The record is from RNAcentral. RNAcentral also lists the same sequence under 100 other names. Lineage: Bacteria; Bacillati; Bacillota; Bacilli; Caryophanales; Staphylococcaceae.
GCCGGCUUAGCUCAAUUGGUAGAGCAACUGACUUGUAAUCAGUAGGUUGAGGGUUCAAGUCCUUUAGCCGGCACCA